This is a long non-coding RNA of Hyaena hyaena (striped hyena), 5141 nucleotides long. RefSeq lists it as uncharacterized. The transcript is spliced from 4 exons. The record is from RefSeq and is a predicted model, not a curated record. NCBI's taxonomy places the organism in Eukaryota, Metazoa, Chordata, Mammalia, Carnivora, Hyaenidae.
UACCCCCCUUUCACUGAUUAUUAAUAUGAAAUAUAUGAUGGCCAAAGAUGAAUUGUGUUGAUGAUAAUACCUUUUAAAAGGGAUUUUCAUUCAGAAAUACAUUACUAAUACAUUAGUAUUAGAUUCUUCUGGCUGCCAUAACAGAUAACCACAAACUUGGUAGCUAUAAAAAUAUCUCAUUUCUGGAGAUUAAAAGUCUAAAAUCAAGGUGUGGCCAGGUUGGUUUUUUUCUGGAGGCUCUGGGAGAGAAUCUGUCCCAUGCUUCUAGCUUCUGGUGGCUGUCUGCAAUCUUUGGUUUACAGAUGUGUCACUCCACUCUCCACCUCUGCUUCGCAUGAUCUCUCUCUCAUAAGGACAAUGUCAUUGGGUUAGGGUUUACCUGAAUCCAGGAUGGUCUUAUGCCAAGAUCUUUAAUUAAUCUACAGUGACCCUUUUACAAAAAUAAGGGCACAUUUAUAAGUUCCAUUUAGAUAGACAUCUUUUUGUGGGAUACUUUUCACCCACUGAAGUUACCAAAGGAUAUUUUAGGAUAAACUUCAUAAAAUGUGUAGGAAAUGAUUUCUUUGCUGAGAUAUUUUAAAUAAAAUUAUGUCUUCACUAAGAGCUGAUUCCAAGAUUACAUAGUUACAAAAAUUAGGGUGAUUUGGUAUUUGAUUCCAUUAUCCAAAACAGAAGUAAAAGGAAGUUUAGAGAUUCAUUGAGCUAGUCUUAUUUUGUAGAUUAGGAAGCAACUAUCUGGAUAGGAUUUUUCGUGUGAGUCUUUAAAUUCUGUGUCUACUGUGAAUUCAUUUGGUUGUUAUUCCUUUACAGGAAUGUAUUACUUGGACAUGUUUACUUUGAUAUGCAAACUUAGAACUGUGAAUAGAAUUUAUCUUUUACUAUCAUUUUACAUUUGUAAACUUACAAAUAACUGUGGACAAAUUACUUUAUCUUCAAUGUUAGACUAUGCUUUCUCUGGGUUUUAAACAAUGGGUAGAUUUGGAAAAUAUUCUGUAUUUGCAAAUAUAAAAAUGUGUAGGUGAAAAUUACAGGUAUAGUCUUGAGUAAUAAGUAUAGAGCAGUCUUGUACUCUGUUCACUACUUAGAAAGUAUAUUGAUUCUCUAGUUGUAACAGUGAUUGUUGAGAGAUGUUUUUACUUUUUUUUUUUUUUUUUUUUUGGUAAUUAGAUAAGAGAACAAAUUAUCUUAUAAUGGAGAUCUGAGUUCCAGGAAGUCAAAGUAAACAACUUUCUUACCUGGUAUUAUUAAUGCAAGGCUCUUGUGACUUGGAAUAUUGGUGAGAUGAAAAAACUUCCCCUCUAACCCAGUCUGGAAACCAUUCCACUCCAUAGAUUGGGGGAAUCACUGUUCUAGUUCGUUUGUAAGAGUUGAAUUCCUGCUAUUUUAAGAGACAUUUUGGAGGAAAUCCAUACUCAGAGGAAGUAGGGUGAUCUUCCAUGUUUUCCAUAAAGCAUAAAAGAAAAGAAUUCUGUGAAUUAAAGGGUGCUAUAGAGCAUACCUUUUAGAAACAUCUUAGGUUGCAUUUGUGUUUUGAACAUUUUUCAAGAGUUAUUGGAUACAUAUUUUGACAUGAAUUUUUUAAAAAUUAAAUUGAAUUUCUUGAUUAAAAGGUGAUUAUUUAAAAGAAAAAAGUAUUGAUAAGCUGGAGAGCCUGUGGAGCCUUGUGAUUAUUGUUAAAAUCUUUAAGUAGGAUUAUUUUAAAGAAUGUCCUAAAAAGAUUUAGUCCAUAAAUUUUCUAAGCCUUAUAGUAAAUCUUUUUGAACUUUUUUUACCUAACAUGAAAUUCCAUAGAUACAGAGUAUUCCCUUUAUAUGGUGUUAGUAAGCAGUGUGCUGUGUUUCCUCACAUACUAUUUAUGUUUUCUUUUGUUAGAUACCUGGAAAUCUUUUUAAUGUAUCUGAUUAUGUUUUUAAAUUAUUUGCAAGUACAGUGUUCCUGAGUUUAAAUAUAGAAUAUCAUUUUGUGAUAAGAGAAAUUACGUUAGCUGUCUGGACUCUUCCUCUUCUUAAAGUUAUUUCUGGAAUGUGCUUAGUCUGUCAUGAAGUACAUUAAUAUAAGUAGCUUAAUGCAGUUUAUUUCUAAUAGAUAAAUAGCUUAAUGUAGUGUAUUUCUUGUUUGAAUUUAACUGCCCCUGUGCUUGAUUUUUUUUGUCUUUAUAAUCGUCUGAAGACAGGAGGGGAGAAGAAAAGAGAUCCUUACUUUUAUUAUACCACCUAAAUAGUGGACCUUUAUUUUAGAUAAACAUUUAAGUAAAAUGUUGAAAUAGAAAAAUGAAUUCAUGUUGAUUAGGUUAGAGAGCAUUUAUAAUCUCUGAGGCAGUUAAAAUUUCCUUUAGUGAAACAAGAAAGAAAUAUCUUGCAAGUAAUAUGAGAAAGGUUUUUCAAAUGGAAAUUUAAAUAUGACCUAGAAACCAUGGGCUUGUAGAAAAAGCAUUUAACACGAAAAUGAGGAUUUCUGUAUUUGUGACUUUGGACUCAAUAAAGCAAGUGGUUUUAAGCAUUUGACCUCAUUUCAAGUGAAAACAGUACUUGUCCUAACUCCAGUUAUUCUAGCCUGUCACCUGUCUAGCCUAAUUUCAGAACUAAGUCAGCCUCCUCCAUAUAUCCAUAAAGUUCUUAAAUAUAUAGUCAGUGUCAAAUAAAUGUAUAUGGAAUGAAGUUUUUAGUAUAGAAUGAAGUGAAUGUCCUAGAAAAGAUCUACUAUGUAACCAUAAGCUGACUUUAGGAAAUAAAUCCCAUGCUUCAUAAUGGAAGCCCUCCUAAACUAUUUUCUGCCUUAGUUUUAGUUUUUUUUUAAUUUGCUAUAAUUUUAAUACUUCUAUCUGUAUCUACUUGUAAAUAUGUUAUAUGUCAUUAUAAUAGGAUGUGAUUUCAAAUUUAUCCCUGUUUAUUUAAAAUAAGUAACUGUCAACCAUUAAUAUAUAAUAGCAGUAAAACUUCUGAUGCUUAUUAAACUUUUAAGGGAAAAAGGAUUUCAACCAAUUACGCAUAAUUUGUAUUAUUUUUGUUAGACUGCAUUUUAGUACUUUAGGGAUAAAUGUUAUUUUUUAUUUAGGGUACUUUUUAUGAUUUAAAUGUUGACAAUUAGACAAAUAUUUCCAGUAUAUUAAAUGAGAGGAAGAAAAUUAUAAUAAAAUUGUAUAGAUGAUGUAUUUUUAACAUAUAUCCAUGAUCCAAAUACUAAAUCUUUAACAUUUAAAAAUUAUUUCUAGAGAAAGAAAUGUUGCCACAGUGAAGAAAUCCAAUAACACUGUUAUAGUUUGCUUUUUAAAAAAUGGACACUUGAUGAAUUUAAUGUUAAUUUGAGCCUAGUACAUCACCAUCAGGCAAAAAGAAAUACGACAUUUUUCUGAGGAUAAAUAUUAAGCAUAGUAUUUAUCUUUUGCUCACUGACUGAAACUUUUGUGAUACAGCUGAACUGUAUUGGGUGUGUGAAGGCAUGUACAAAAUGAGGAAGAGAGGGAAGAAAAGUAAUGGUAACAAACAAUUGCUGUCAUUUAUUGAACACCUACAGUGUUCAAGGCAUUACACUGGCUGAUUUAUAAAUACCAUCUCAUUUGAUCCUCCUCAUAUUUGUACGGUGCGGAUACUGAUUUCUCUUUGACCACUGGAGAAGCUAAAGCUGAGGCAGACCACGCAAAUCACCCAAAGUCAGCAUCGUCACUGAAGGACAUAGCUUGGCCUUACUCCCCUGCCUGUGAGUUUUUAAGUGACGCUCUGCCUCACUAUGAAAGGUUUUCAUUAAGAGAAGUAAAAUCUGGAGAGCUGUUCAUCUGUCUUUACCAUGUGUUAACCAGAACAUUCAUGGCAUAUUAUUGUUUGUAUUGGAUGGAGUCGUUUUUUUUAAAUGCUAGCACCUGUUUAAAAGAACACGAACAGAUAAUAGUUAUAAGAGAAAUGGCUAAAAGAGUAGAGAUGAUGUUUAACUUGGAGAAUUAGAGAGUCUACAGUUUGAUAGGCUCUCAUAAUUGAAGAAUAAUUAUUUGGAAGAAGGACUGGACUAUUCUUCAUUCCCAGAAGUUUAUAUCAAGGACCAACAGAUUUCAACUGAUAAAAAAUAUAUUGUCUGUUUAGUCUCUGUAGGGGAAUGGAUCCAGAAAAAAGUAAAUUCCCUCACUCACUGGAUGCAAGAUUUCUAUUUAUCAGGAAUGCUUCAGAAGAGAUUCAGAUAGUAGUAAAACACCUGUAAAAUAUAGAACAUUCAGGCUGGCAUCAGACGACCUGGAUUCAAGUCCUGACUGCCUUCAACAUGUUAUGUGAUAUUAGGAAAGGCCUGUGGAAGUGAAAUCUGGAGCUACACUGAAGCCUAAGAGACUGGCAAAACUUAAAAUGAAGUCCUAAUCUAUGGGGCUGCUGAUACAAAGGCUACAAAGGCCGGUUGAAGAGAGCAAUCUGUGAGGACACCUGGAAGCUCUUUGGUCUUUUCAGAGGCUAAAGGAAGUAGAAUUCUGCUAAGGAGAUUGUCUGCUUUCAAGAAAGGGUUACAAGAUCUGGGGUUUGCCGCACGUCUGUUCCACCCUGUGUGCGGUGCUGAGAAGGCUUCCCGGCACCCAGCCGUCGCUGCCUGUCCCUCGGGCGGCGCUGAAGUGUGAGGCUGCUCAUGCUGCGAGGCCCAGCCUGGGGCAUGGGGUGCACAUGCUGCAGCGACACACCGACUCUCCACGCCUGUCCGUAACAGCUGUGAAAUCUGCCCCUGGUCUCCUCUUCAGGUAAGAAAUUUCAUCAGUCAGAAUAACCCCUGGCCCUUGAAUAGAGCUUUGUAUUCAUAAAAAUGUUUUCACCUAUGUGAUUUCAUCUUAUGGAUUCAUAGAAGCCAAAAGCAGAAGAAAUAUCAGGUGUUAGGGCCCCCAUGGAGCAAAAGGAGAAAUUGAAUCCAAGAGAGGUGGUCACUUUGCCUAAAAUCAAAUAGCUACAUAGCAGCAGACCUGAAACCAGUAUUUAGUUCUGCUGACUCUCAACCCAGGGGCUUUUCCAUUACCAUCACAUGUCAAUCUCACUUAUUUCCCUGGGUCUCCUCCAUCUUUUUCUUCUGUCUGUCUUUUAAAAUAAGAUCAAUUUGUCUUUUUUUUCAUUUAUGCAUUAAAGGUGAUCUACUUCUAUCAAAACGUAGUAAUAUCUUACUUUUGUUGAUUCUUUUCAAAA